AGGAGAGUUUGAUCCUGGCUCAGGAUGAACGCUAGCUACAGGCUUAACACAUGCAAGUCGAGGGGCAGCAGGGCAAUAGCUUGCUAUUGUUGCUGGCGACCGGCGCACGGGUGAGUAACGCGUAUCCAACCUACCCUGCAGUCAGGGAUAGCCCGGCGAAAGUCGGAUUAAUACCUGAUGCAGUCAGAAGAGGGCAUCUGAUUUUGACGAAAGAUUCAUCGCUGCGGGAUGGGGAUGCGUAGGAUUAGGCAGGCGGCGGGGCAACGGCCCACCGCGCCGACGAUCCUUAGGGGUUCUGAGAGGAAGGUCCCCCACACUGGUACUGAGACACGGACCAGACUCCUACGGGAGGCAGCAGUGAGGAAUAUUGGUCAAUGGGCGGUAGCCUGAACCAGCCAAGUAGCGUGCAGGAUGACGGCCCUACGGGUUGUAAACUGCUUUUAUGCGGGGAUAAAGUGCGCGACGUGUCGCGUUUUGUAGGUACCGCAUGAAUAAGGACCGGCUAAUUCCGUGCCAGCAGCCGCGGUAAUACGGAAGGUCCGGGCGUUAUCCGGAUUUAUUGGGUUUAAAGGGAGCGCAGGCGGCCUUUUAAGCGUGACGUGAAAUGUAGGCGCUCAACGUCUGAAUUGCGUCGCGAACUGUUAGGCUUGAGUAGACGGAAUGCCGGUGGAAUUCGUGGUGUAGCGGUGAAAUGCUUAGAUAUCACGAAGAACUCCGAUUGCGAAGGCAGCUGGCAGCAGUUUUACUGACGCUCAUGCUCGAAAGUGCGGGUAUCGAACAGGAUUAGAUACCCUGGUAGUCCCCU
Molecule: ribosomal RNA, 805 nt
Filed under: uncultured Bacteroidota bacterium
Lineage: Bacteria; Pseudomonadati; Bacteroidota
Description: bacterial SSU rRNA
Rfam family: Bacterial small subunit ribosomal RNA
Source: RNAcentral